AAGGCAGCAGUGGGGAAUUUUGGACAAUGGGGGAAACCCUGAUCCAGCCAUGCCGCGUGAGUGAAGAAGGCCUUCGGGUUGUAAAGCUCUUUCAGCCGGAACGAAACGGUUACGGUUAAUACCCGUGACUACUGACGGUACCGGAAGAAGAAGCACCGGCUAACUACGUGCCAGCAGCCGCGGUAAUACGUAGGGUGCGAGCGUUAAUCGGAAUUACUGGGCGUAAAGCGUGCGCAGGCGGUUUUGUAAGUCAGAUGUGAAAUCCCCGGGCUUAACCUGGGAACUGCGUUUGAAACUGCAAGGCUAGAGUGUGGCAGAGGGGGGUGGAAUUCCGCGUGUAGCAGUGAAAUGCGUAGAGAUGUGGAGGAACACCGAUGGCGAAGGCAGCCCCCUGGGUCAACACUGACGCUCAGGCACGAAAGCAUGGGGAGCAAACAGGAUUAGAUACCCUGGUAGUCCAUGCCCUAAACGAUGUCAACUAGUUGUCGGGUCUUAACGGUCUUGGUAACGUAGCUAACGCAUGAAGUUGACCGCCUGGGGAGUACGAUCGCAAGAUUAAAACUCAAAGGAAUUGACGG
Molecule: ribosomal RNA, 578 nt
Filed under: uncultured beta proteobacterium
Lineage: Bacteria; Pseudomonadati; Pseudomonadota; Betaproteobacteria
Description: bacterial SSU rRNA
Rfam family: Bacterial small subunit ribosomal RNA
Source: RNAcentral